This 276-nucleotide ribosomal RNA is filed under the name uncultured bacterium. RNAcentral's name for it is "partial 16S ribosomal RNA". It matches the Rfam family "Bacterial small subunit ribosomal RNA", at positions 30 to 252 of the family's 1533-position model. The record is from RNAcentral.
AUUGAACGCUGGCGGCAUGCUUAACAUAUGCAAGUCGAACGGCAGCGCGGGAAAGCUUGCUUUCCUGGCGGCGAGUGGCGGACGGGUGAGUAAUACUUAGGAAUCUGCCCACUAGUGGGGGAUAGCCCGGGGAAACUCGGAUUAAUACCGCAUAAGCCCUACGGGGGAAGCUGGGGACCCAGCACCAUAGCCUUUUGGCAACCGAUCAAGGCGAGAAGAAGCUAUGGUGCUGGGCCUGGCGCUAGUGGAUGAGCCUAAGUCCUAUCAGCUAGUUGG